AGUUUUAAUAGUUUAAUUAAAAACUUUGGUCUUGUAAACCAAAAAUGAAAUCUUUUUCUUAAAACUUC
Molecule: transfer RNA, 68 nt
Filed under: Umalia orientalis
Lineage: Eukaryota; Metazoa; Arthropoda; Malacostraca; Decapoda; Raninidae
Description: tRNA-Thr
Rfam family: tRNA
About the family: Transfer RNA (tRNA) molecules are approximately 80 nucleotides in length.
Source: RNAcentral